UGGCUACAGAACGAACGCUGGCGGCAGGCUUAACACAUGCAAGUCGAGCGCCCGCAAGGGGAGCGGCAGACGGGUGAGUAACGCGUGGGAACGUGCCCUUUGGUUCGGAACAACUCCGGGAAACUGGAGCUAAUACCGGAUAAGCCCUUCGGGGGAAAGAUUUAUCGCCAAAGGAUCGGCCCGCGUCUGAUUAGCUAGUUGGUGAGGUAAUGGCUCACCAAGGCGACGAUCAGUAGCUGGUCUGAGAGGAUGAUCAGCCACACUGGGACUGAGACACGGCCCAGACUCCUACGGGAGGCAGCAGUGGGGAAUAUUGGACAAUGGGCGCAAGCCUGAUCCAGCCAUGCCGCGUGAGUGAUGAAGGCCUUAGGGUUGUAAAGCUCUUUUGUCCGGGAAGAUAAUGACUGUACCGGAAGAAUAAGCCCCGGCUAACUUCGUG
RNAcentral lists this ribosomal RNA (439 nucleotides) under uncultured bacterium. Its description in RNAcentral is "bacterial SSU rRNA". It matches the Rfam family "Bacterial small subunit ribosomal RNA", at positions 26 to 507 of the family's 1533-position model. The record is from RNAcentral.